CAAUGUGAAUAUUGUUUUAGUAGUGUUACCUAUUAUUUUCUUUAGUAGGUGCAACAUUUUACCCUCUUCCUCAUCACCCAAAACAAGUGUUAAACCCUUAUUCAUACAGGCUGCAUUACCUAGUUUUUACACUCAUAUAUUUAUAGCUUCUAAAAUUCUCUUCAGCUUUAAAUCUUCCUAAAUUCAUGGUUAGUAUUUUUUAAAUUUGAACCAUGCAUAGAUUUUUGGGCUACAUAUAAAAAUUGGAACUUAGAAAAAAUGGCAAAUUAAGAGGAAUUGUUCAGUUUGUAAACAAGAUACUUUACAAAAGGUUUGAGUCCUUUUUAAUAACAAAUUUCCCUUAUGAUUCAAAUUUACAAAAAUUUAAUUUAGGUAUGACUUUUUAGGGGUACAGAUUAUUUAAAGUGGAGUAUGCUGAAAGAUAUCAAAAACAGUUUCUCUCCUCAAAAUAAGUGAAGUAGGCUGAAGUUUGAAAAUAAUUCCUGUGAAAGAGAUAAACUCCUGGCAAUAAAAUACAAGUCUGCUGUUAGAUGAAAAUAAAUGCGGUGAUUCAGAUACUGUACCAUUUCAAAAGGUUCAAAGGCCUGAGCUUCUGGGUUAUCCAAGGUGAAAAAAGUCAUGAAAAUCCAAAGAAAGAUAAAGACUGAAUGUGAUAUACUGUGCACUCAAGACUGUUUCUUCAGAAUCAUGGUACCUUAAGAGCAACUUUUCAUGCAAUUUCCUUAAUAUCAAUUCACAGCAUGUACUUUAACUUCUCCACAGAAACCAAGGGCAUUAUUCUCUGGUCAUAC
This 791-nucleotide long non-coding RNA is filed under the name Marmota monax (woodchuck). The record is from RNAcentral. Lineage: Eukaryota; Metazoa; Chordata; Mammalia; Rodentia; Sciuridae.